UUGAUUUUGAUUUGUUACCUUCUGUGCUGGCUCCGGCAUGUGCACGUUGGUGACUUUCAUCCAAUACCCUUAUGUGAACCUUUGGCCUCUUGCCGGCUUUGGCUGGCAGAGGAUUUACACAAACUUGAAUGUAACAGAAAGACCUUGUUGUGCGCAAGCACUAAUGUA
This 168-nucleotide unclassified non-coding RNA is filed under the name uncultured Sebacinaceae. RNAcentral's name for it is "sequence contains ITS1". Lineage: Eukaryota; Fungi; Basidiomycota; Agaricomycetes; Sebacinales; Sebacinaceae. The record is from RNAcentral.